This 166-nucleotide ribosomal RNA is filed under the name uncultured bacterium. RNAcentral's name for it is "partial 16S ribosomal RNA". It matches the Rfam family "Bacterial small subunit ribosomal RNA", at positions 1334 to 1500 of the family's 1533-position model. The record is from RNAcentral.
GCUAGUAAUGGCAGGUCAGCAUACUGCCGUGAAUACGUUCCCGGGCCUUGUACACACCGCCCGUCACACCAUGAGAGUUGGGAAUACCCGAAGCCUGUGAGCUAACGUUAAGAGGCAGCAGUCGAAGGUAGAAUCAAUGAUUGGGGUGAAGUCGUAACAAGGUAUC